This 162-nucleotide ribosomal RNA is filed under the name uncultured bacterium. Its description in RNAcentral is "partial 16S ribosomal RNA". It matches the Rfam family "Bacterial small subunit ribosomal RNA", at positions 319 to 504 of the family's 1533-position model. The record is from RNAcentral.
CCGCGGUAAUUCCGGAAACUCCUACGGGAGGCAGCAGUGGGGAAUAUUGCACAAUGGGCGAAAGCCUGAUGCAGCGACGCCGCGUGAGGGAUGAAGGCCUUCGGGUUGUAAACCUCUUUCAGCAGGGAAGCGGUACCUGCAGAAGAAGCACCGGCUAACUAC